CCUUCAGAAACGUGAUCCGUGCAACCGUUUCACUGUUGGUUUUAUUUGUCAUUCGUAGAUGCGAUUUCUCUUGAACUCACCCCGACCUCAAGGUUGCCUCCACCACCAUGGAAGAGAUUCAACCAGAACGCAGACGUCAACUUCCAGCUUGAAGGUGUUCUUUCCUCGACUUGCAAGGAUUUCGGCAGCCACGAGAAUGUGAGGAUCACGAUUUUGAUGCGGUGGUGUUAUUCCAUCAAACUUCCAGACACGAUGAGGGCUUCAAAUUUAUUAAUUCUUUGGUUGAACCUCAUGAGUAUAUAUUCUUUUCUAUUGUUUGUGUCACCUUCUCACUCUAAACUGCUAUUUUACUUUUUUGCGGGAUGUUCAUUAAGACUUGCAAAAGGCUGAAAAUGCUUUGAUGCCACUGGCUUAGGUAUGUAUUCUCGGUGAUGUACAGUUUCAGGAUACUCUUGAAUUAUGAUAUCUUUUUAAUGUUUAAAUCAAUUGAGCAUUUUGUGUUGUUUGUGCUUAUGAAGUUGCAUGUCUUAUUAGGAACUUUUCCUUUCUUCCCGAUUUAGUUUCAUUCUAUUUUAGUUGGACUAGAUCAUAAUAACCCAAGCCACUACAGUAUCUGCUCUCAACAACAUUUAGUCUAAAACCAACAGGUGUUGGUUUCCAACCGGUUGCUUAAACGGUUACUAUGUGUCUUCAGUUAAAUCGUUGAAUCUAUGGGUCUGUCCUUUCAAAGUUUUCUUUUAUGGUUCUGUUCUAUUUGAUUUUAAGUUAUCAGCCCCUUGGUUCUGUUCAUUAGAACUAGGAGUUGAUAAUUUGUGGAGUUACAAAGAGUUAGGCUUAGUCUUCCUACCCUGUUUUUUUUUUCUUUUACUGCAAAAUGGAUUGGCUGCUUUAGCAUAGUUGGAGGUUCUUCCCUUGUCAAAUUUAGGUUAAAUUCAGUGUUUGGAACAUUUUAAUGAUCAGUUGUUGUUUCAUUUCUACUUACAAAUGAUUUUUUUUUAAAUAGAACUACUUGGAGGUUUCAAUUUGAAUAAGCCAUAGGAUUGGGCCACUGCAUAUAUGUUUCAUGAUUUGUGAGAGAAACAUUUAUCUCAUAAUGAUCAAGGGUUUAAAGAAAGAAUUGAACUCUGAUAUUCUAUUCCCUUAGUUCUUAAGUAGCUUAAUUGUAGAACGAUUGUCUGCUAUUGUUAUCUGACCUAUAGUAGAAUUAGGACUAUCAAUUAUUGUUAAUAUUGAAUUUUCUCCGUGCAUUGCACUUUUUUUUGUCAAUGAAAGUUUAUUAAUCAAAAGAUAUUAGCAUGUUUUAUGUGCUUCUCCAUUUAGGAUCCAUGAGUACUUGAUGCAUGUAAAUGUUAUCUCUGAAUUUUUAUUUUGUUCUCAUAUAUGUUUUAAUGGGUUUUUUAGCCUGAUUUCUAUCAUGAGUUACAUUAUGCUACAGGUGGAAGAGCCCAAACAUGCUCACACAUCUCUUCGGUUAAAUGCCAAUCAAAGUUUAGAUUCAUUAACCCCUCCUUUUCUUGAAGGUUUUUUAUAUAGGUUAAAUGCCAGUGACCGCUAAGAAGUCAAUGAUGAUGUUUGAUAUUGGGUGCAAUGUGGAAAGGAACCAUGUUUGAUAAAAACAACCUAGGAAUACUUCCGUAUGCAGUUCACGUGUAAGUUUUGGAGACCUUGAGAGUACUUGAAGGUUAACAAUAGCAACAUUAAGUGUACAAAUUAUUUUGGGACUCAUUCUGUCAAGGGUCAUUUAUUCUAGGUAAGCUUAUGAGACUUUAUCAAUGAGGUCAUGACUGUUUGGCCUCAUUUUAAGGAGGCAAACAUCCUUCCUUUGAUCAUUUAAGCUGAAGGCUCCUUUGGGGCGCUUGAAGAAGAGGAACCACUGUUGAAGGAGGUGAUGCCAGAAUUAGGGACAAUCAUGUCAAUGAUCUAACCAGUGCAUGAGUUAAGGAGUGACAAUGUCCGAUGAUUAAUGAUAGCUAAUCAAUCUUUCAUAGGCUUUAGAACAAGAACAAACAUUUACAUAUUUGAAAAUAACACUCUUCUGGCUUUCAAAAAUAAUUUUUCUAAGACUGUA
This is a long non-coding RNA of Lotus japonicus, 2068 nucleotides long. RefSeq lists it as uncharacterized. The record is from RefSeq and is a predicted model, not a curated record. NCBI's taxonomy places the organism in Eukaryota, Viridiplantae, Streptophyta, Magnoliopsida, Fabales, Fabaceae. The transcript has 3 exons.